Neodiprion fabricii is the source of this 551-nucleotide long non-coding RNA. RefSeq lists it as uncharacterized. The transcript is spliced from 3 exons. The record is from RefSeq and is a predicted model, not a curated record. Lineage: Eukaryota; Metazoa; Arthropoda; Insecta; Hymenoptera; Diprionidae.
GACACCCCGGGGAUAGGUUCCGUCGGGUGCUGUCUGCAGUCUGGACUUUAUCACGUCAGCCGGCAUUCCAACUGACCAGUUUGCGAUUCCCGCAGCACCUCCGGCAACCAGGGAAGGCCACAUUGCACCCUGGGGAGUGGAGACGUAUUCGAUGUGUCGAAAACGAGAUGGUGACCACCUCCGAUACAGUUAUGCCCUGGAGUUUCCGCAUGAGGACCUCGUAGGUGAAGAAGUACAUCCCGGCGGCGGGGACGUCGCGAAGAAGAGUGGCGCAGGUCCCGACGUAUAUCUUGCGGAUUCCACCCUGCUUCCAAAGUUUCAACCCGCAAUCUAGAAACCCGUUGUAUUUCUUGUCACUCUCAGUCUUCUCUUUGACGAGGCAGGGUCAUGCAAAAAAUAAAUUUUUAUCGAUUCUUGCACAUUAGACAUACGCAAUCACACCUGCAUUUGAAGCAAGCACUUUAUUCGUUCCCCUGGAGCCAUGACAAAGGAGGUACACAUCCCGCUGAAAGCACCGGCCAGAAACUGCUGAGGGUCAGUUAAUUUUUCCU